RNAcentral lists this ribosomal RNA (548 nucleotides) under Clostridioides difficile. RNAcentral describes it as "partial 23S ribosomal RNA". It matches the Rfam family "Bacterial large subunit ribosomal RNA", at positions 1408 to 1965 of the family's 2925-position model. The record is from RNAcentral. Lineage: Bacteria; Bacillati; Bacillota; Clostridia; Peptostreptococcales; Peptostreptococcaceae.
GGCGUAGGUGAUGGACAACAGGUUGAUAUUCCUGUACUACCGAUAACCGUUUGAGAGAAGGGAUGACACAGUAGGAUAAGCUAAGCACACUGUUGGUUAUGUGUGCCCAAGCAUUGAGGCAGUCAAAGUAGGCAAAUCCGCUUUGAUAAUGCUGGGCUGUGAUGGGGAGCGAAAUUUAGUAGCGAAGUAGCUGAUUUCACACUGUCAAGAAAAGUCUCUAUCGAGGUUAAAGGUACCCGUACCGCAAACCGACACAGGUGGGUGAGGAGAGUAUCCUAAGGCCAGCGAGAGAACUGUUGUUAAGGAACUCGGCAAAAUGACCCCGUAACUUAGGGAUAAGGGGUGCCACCAUCAGGUGGCCGCAGAGAAUAGGCCCAAGCGACUGUUUACCAAAAACAUAGGUUUCUGCUAAGUCGCAAGACGAUGUAUAGGAGCUGACGCCUGCCCGGUGCUGGAAGGUUAAGGGGAUCUGUUAGAGCAAUCGAAGCAGUGAACUUAAGCCCCAGUAAACGGCGGCCGUAACUAUAACGGUCCUAAGGUAGCGAAAU